RNAcentral lists this long non-coding RNA (214 nucleotides) under Capra hircus (goat). RNAcentral's name for it is "lncRNA (ENSCHIG00010002972.1)". The record is from RNAcentral. Lineage: Eukaryota; Metazoa; Chordata; Mammalia; Artiodactyla; Bovidae.
CUUUCCGCCUCCGCAUCCUCUCUUGCAGCCUGCACCCCCUGGACAUCUUGACUCCAUCCUUCAGCAUCCUUUGCCUCACUGUAUCCUGACUGCUUGGACCAUCCUUCUCUCCAGCCUCCACUGAACAACAGAUUGGGAAGGGGAAUUUCACAAGGAGCUCUUGAUCUUGGCAGAGACGCUGCCGAGCCACCUGCCCCACCUGGCAGCCCAACCG